UGUGUGUGUGUGUGUGUGUGUGUGUGUGUGUGUGUGUGUGUGUGUGUGUGUGUGUGUGUGUGUGUGUGUGUGUGUGUGUGUGUGUGUGUGUGUGUGUGUGUGUGUGUGUGUGUGUGUGUGUGUGUGUGUGUGUGUGUGUGUGUGUGUGUGUGUGUUUGUGUGUGUGUGUGUGUGUGUGUGUGUGUGUGUGUGUGUGUGUGUGUGUGUGUGUGUGUGUGUGUGUGUGUGUGUGUGUGUGUGUGUGUGUGUGUGUGUGUGUGUGUGUGUGUGUGUGUGUGUGUGUGUGUGUGUGUGUGUGUGUGUGUGUGUGUGUGUGUGUGUGUGUGUGUGUGUGUGUGUGUGAGUUUGUAAAACCUACCAACCGGGGAAAAUCGUAUGAAUACACACCAACAAACCGGGGAACACCUACCAACCGGGGAAUUCCCCGGUUGGUUUUAGGCGAAAAUCUCUAAUCUACGUGUAUGAAAUACCAAACUGUCAAUUUAAAUUAGAAAUCCAACGCCUUCCCCGAUUAGCGGGUUUGUGGCAUGCACAAAAUAUACACAAAUAUUGACCAAAUUACAAUCGAGUGUGUAUCCAGGCUUAUAACAGUUCCCCGGUUGCGCUGUUUAAAAAUCAUACACUCGGUAUUUAUAUCAUUUAGUGAAAGUAAGUUGGAAAAAUGGAGUUUCGAGCGAACAAACGCAUUAAACUAAGGUAAGCUUUUUAAUUAUGUUUACAACUUUCAAUUGCUAUUAAAAAGCGUUUUUAUGUAAACUUUAAAGUAAUACUGGAAGACGAAUUCUAAAGAUCGAUUUAUAUUAAUAUCAUUUGAUUACAAAGCUUGUUUUACGGUACAUAUUUCACGAAUAUAUUUUUUAAAUAAACGUAAAACAAUGUAGAGCUCUAGACAGUUUUUCGUUAUAUAUAUAUAACGAAAACUGCCUAGAGCUCUACAGUGUUUUACGUUAUAUAUAUAUAUAUAGUGGAGCUAUCCUACUCACCCCGGCGUCGGCGUUAGCGUGAGCGUGAGCGUUGGAAUGUUAAAGUUUGCGUACCACCUCAAAUAUUGUCUAUGUCCCUUGACAUAUUGCUUUUAUAUUUAGCAUACUUCUUUACCAACAUGACCCCAAUCUAUAAACAAGAGCAGACAACUGUAACAAGCAUUUUGUAAGAAUUAUGGCCCCUUUUCCCACUUAAAAUAUGCAUAUUAUUGAUAAAUCUUUGUUAAAGUUUACGUACCACCGCAAUUACUUUCUAUGUCCCUUGACAUAUUGCUUUUAUAUUUUGCAUACUUCUUUACCAACAUAACCCCAAUCGAUAAACAAGAGCAGACAACUGUAACAAGCAUUUUGUAAGAAUCAUGGCCCCUUUUCCACUUAGAAUAUGCAUAUUAUUGAUAAAUCUUUAUUAAAGUUGCGUACCACCUCAAAUAUUUUCUUUGUCCCUUGACAUAAGGUUUCAUAUUUUGCAUACUUCUUUACCAACAUGACCCCAAUCUAUAAACAAGAGCAGACAACUGUAAAAAGCAUUUUGUAAGAAUUAUGGCCCCUUUUUUCACUUAGAAUAUGCAUACUAUUGGUUAUUCUAUGUUAAAGUUUGCGUACCACCUUAAAUAUUUUCUUUGUCCCUUGACAUAUUGCAUUCAUAUUUUGCAUACUUCUUUACCAACAUGACCCCAAUCUAUAAACAAGAGCAGACUACUGUAAACAACAUUUUGUAAGAAUUAUGGCCCCUUUUUUCACUUAGAAUAUGCAUAUUAUUAAUAAUUCUUUGUUAAAGUUUGCUUACCACCUCAAAUAUUUUAAUUGUCCCUUGACAUGCUGCUUUCAUAUUUUGCAUACUUCUUGACCAACAUGACCCCAACUUGAAAUACAAUCUUAUUAGUUUGUUUUAUAUCUUUACAAAUGUUCAAUACAUAUGUUUUGUGGAAACCUGAACUCAGAAUCGUCUAUAAUUAACCAUUUCUUUAAAACAUAAGCGAUCAAUAUGUUUGGCUUAAACUUAUUUAUUACGACAUAGUAACAUAUUCACAAGUAACAUGGCAUUGACAUAGGAUCCAUAUGUUUCAAUUAUGGUCCUCUUCCAGUUAGAAUAUGACUAUAGUACCUUGACCUUAUUGAAUAUGAACAAUUUCCCCAUGGUGGCUUACUUUAUACUGUCAAGCACUUGAAUAGUCGAGCGCGCUGUUUUCUGACAGCUCUUGUUGUUUUUCUCAUCGACAUUUCCAUUUUAACAUUUAGUAGCCAAAAGGGUCCAAGUCCCCUUGAUCUCGCAAGAACGUACUGUCAGAAUUACGUUGAUCCACCAGGUUUUGAAGUAAAAACCGUCAAUGAUGUCAUAGGCGAAGGAGUCUUUGCCACUUAGCCUUUUAAAAAAGGAGACUUUCUUCUCGAAUACAAAGGGGAUCUGAUAACACGAGUAAAACAUGCAAUUAGAAAAGGAGUAUGAACAGGAGGGUCAAGGCAGCUUCAUUUACUUUUUUAAAUACAGAGACAAAUCUUGCUGCAUUGACGCUACCAACGAUAUAUUCCACGAGGGUCGAAUGAUAAAUGAUGCCGAAAAUGGAGACGCAAAACAAAAUUGUGUAAUGAAAAUAGUUGAAGUCAACCAAACUCCCCAUCUAUGCACUUUCGCCGACAGAGACAUUGCAAUUGGCGAGGAACUCCGAUAUGAUUAUGGAGUACCAACACUUCCAUGGAGAAAGGCAACACAAUGACUACUAGAUCUACGGACAGCCAGGAACCAGGACAAACAACAUCAAUACACACGGAAGAAGUCAAUGAGACGAAAUGUACGGAACAAAAAAGGGCAACACAAUGACUACUAGAUCUACGGACAGCCAGGAACCAGGACAAACAACCCCCGUGCACACGGAAGAAGUCGAUGAGACGAAAAGAGUACUUCAAAUACCAGGAGAACAUAACAAGCAGCCAACAAUCAAUGGAGUGAAAACGAAAAAGGAGCUGUUCACAGACACUUUGAUCGUUUUUUGAUAAUGGGUAAAUUACCAGAGAAAAAAGAAAUACUUGCAUGAAUUGAAAGUGAGAAUGACCUUCGCAACAGAAGUUGGAAAAAUGUCAAAGACUUUUGCAGAAAUUUUAUUGAAACAAAAAAGCGACGGGGACUUUUAACUUAAAAAAAUAUUACACAUAUAAUGCACGUUUAGGAGAAUACGUUAAAGGAUGAAGUUGCCACAUUUUUUUGUGUUUUCUUGUUCUAUAUACUCUUUUCGAAAACGAUAUAUGUGUGCUUAUUGUAUUUGAAUGUUUUAUUAAUACGGUUCUGCCAAAAACGAUAUUUGUUCAUAAUCUUAUCGCCGAACAAAUUAGGAUUGGUAUAUAGUUCGGCCAAUGAGUGUUUCUUUGUACUUUCUAUUACGAGUUUCUACGAGUUACUCACUAUACAAGUUAUUUUUUACCCUAAAUUUGUUGAAUAUGAAUGAAUAUAGCAAACAUGAUAACAAAUCAAUCUAGAAGGCUAAACGUUCAGAGAAGGCACACAAAAAAUUCAGUCGGAUAAAAUUUACAUUUUAAAUAAAAUAAAAAAACUACUGCUAAACUACUGCUAUAAUAUGAAGAAUACAAAUGAAUAUUUUGUCAAUUUUACAAAAUUUGUUUUGAAUGACAGGUGUCUGACUUGUAGUUGAGUACUUAAUAGUUAUUUUAAAGUAAACAUUUACCAAAAUGUAACUUAUUGCGUAAAUAUCGCACUAGAAUUGAUUAAAUAGUUGUUAAAUAUUACAAUAAUUUCCUACACAGAUUUUUGUGCAUUUGUUUUGCGUGUAGAUAUUCACAUUAGCUAUCAAUUCACAUAUUUGCUUUGUGUAUAUAAUUGGUAUGUUUAUAUAUAUUUUCAUAUCAAAAUUGCUUGAUCUACAAAAAUUCGCGAGGAGUUAUGCAUUUUUUCCCAUGUUUUUAUUGAAGUUUAUAAUUCAACGACGAUGAAAAUUACUAAGAUGCCAGAUUUAGUUAUGUUUUUUUUCUCAUUUAUGGUUAAAGAUCAAUUAACAUACCCAUUUCCCAGACUAAGAUAUUGUUAAAACAAUUUAUCGCGUUUGCGACUGACCUCUUUUAUGCAUUCUAACACAAGCUAUUUACUUGUUUUUUCGAAUACUCUUCAUAUACACACACUUAGAUUACCUAGAACACAACAUAUUUGAAACAUAUAUUUAUAUGUGAUGUGUAAAUGCAGGCACAAAGCUAAUAAUUAAUAAUGUUUAUACACUUUGCGAUAUGAUGCUAUACUGUCGGUUGUUUUAAGUGAUUAGUCAUUAUGUUAACCAUGUUAUCUGCCAUCUGAAAUGUAAUUAAGUGUUUUGACAUGUAUGCGAAAUUGAUCUUGUUCGAUUUGGUUCUGUAUAUUCAGAAUUGAGUCACACUGUUAUAAUUUUCCUGUUGGUACAUAUUAUUUUUAAGUUGGCACCAACAAGGGUUUAACAAUUGAUCCACAUGUGCACUCCCAGUAAGUAUAUAUACUAUAAUGUAAGUGAUUCAAAAUAAUAUUAAACUACGUGUUUGAUAA
Long non-coding RNA from Dreissena polymorpha, 4503 nucleotides. RefSeq lists it as uncharacterized. Lineage: Eukaryota; Metazoa; Mollusca; Bivalvia; Myida; Dreissenidae. The transcript is spliced from 7 exons. The record is from RefSeq and is a predicted model, not a curated record.